AUCAUCUUGGCUCAGGGAGCUACAUUUUGUUUUCAUCUUCCUAUUGCUGUCACCUUAGGAGAUUAAUGCAAGUCCAUGCAUGAAAUCAAAAUGUAGCUCCCUGAGCCAAGAUGAUUAAAAUAAUAAUUACACUUAGCCAAAACAAAAUUGAAAAUGAGAUGGUUUCUGUUCCGCUACUAACACAUUGUUAUACAAUUUCUACGUCUCUUUCAAUUGGUUGUGGCGUUUGAUCAGAGUCAUUGGAGCUUGAUCUAUUUUUAAAAGAUUUCUGGAAGAUAGCAAGGGCACUUUUUGAUCUUGAAAAUGCUGGAGUUCCAUUGCUUGAUUUGCUGUCAACAUUCUUCUUCACCAGAUCUUCUAACAGUCUCUUCACAAAAUUUUGGAAAUGGCGUCUGGAUGUUGGAUACCUUGAGAUAGAUUUAGUAAUUCCUUGAAGCCUUCUAGCUAGUGCAUCAAGUUCAGCUCGUCUGCGUUCAGACUCUGGAGCUGGACCAAUAUUUGCACUUUUCAACUUCGUAGUGUCACCAUUCAACAAUACUAGUUUGCAGAGAUAAUC
RNAcentral lists this unclassified non-coding RNA (556 nucleotides) under Hevea brasiliensis (rubber tree). Lineage: Eukaryota; Viridiplantae; Streptophyta; Magnoliopsida; Malpighiales; Euphorbiaceae. The record is from RNAcentral.